GAGCUUUCAGGAAGGAACACAGACCUGCCCAUACUUUGAUUUUAACUUCUGAGCUCCUGUAUGGUUUUAUCUCAGAUAAAUUUAGUGUUGGCUGAGUCUGCUGUGACAGCCCCUCUUUCGUUCCUGCUCUCCAAGUCUUUGCAGUCCUGUUUGGAUCUGACCUGCUAGGGCUGGAGAUCCAGUUUUCAUUUGACUCUCUGCCUGCACGAACAGUGCUACAGAGGCAUUCUCCUGCAUAUUCUCCUGUGGACCAUGUGAAAAUUUGCCUUGGAGGAAAGAGUGCCGGCAGCUUGCUUGACGUCACCAUGCUGAAGAGCCUGGAUGUAAUUCUCUGGUAAGCCUGUGUGAGCCCCGCAUCGGGCUCUCUGCUCAGCCGGGAGCCUGCUUCCCUUCCUCUCUCUCUGUCUACCUCUCUGCCUGCUUGUGAUCACUCUCUGCCAAAUAAAUAAAUAUAAUCUUAAAAAAAAGAAGCCUGUGUGAAUGAGGCAGUGCAUUGUUUUCAUGUUUUU
Mustela lutreola (European mink) is the source of this 509-nucleotide long non-coding RNA. RefSeq lists it as uncharacterized. The transcript has 4 exons. The record is from RefSeq and is a predicted model, not a curated record. NCBI's taxonomy places the organism in Eukaryota, Metazoa, Chordata, Mammalia, Carnivora, Mustelidae.